This is a regulatory RNA element of Proteiniborus sp. DW1, 88 nucleotides long. It matches the Rfam family "pan motif". The record is from Rfam. Lineage: Bacteria; Bacillati; Bacillota; Clostridia; Eubacteriales.
UAGCCAAUAUCCAAUGGAAUUGGACUAUAUUACUGUAAAUAAAAAUAUAUUAAUUCGACUGGUAUCCUUUAAGGAACUAGAGCGGGAG